CCUACGGGUGACAGCAGUGAGGAAUAUUGGUCAAUGGGCGCGAGCCUGAACCAGCCAAGUAGCGUGAAGGAUGACUGCCCUACGGGUUGUAAACUUCUUUUAUAAAGGAAUAAAGUGUGGCACGUGUGCCUUUUUGUAUGUACUUUAUGAAAAAGGAUCGGCUAACUCCGUGCCAGCAGCCGCGGUAAUACGGAGGAUCCGAGCGUUAUCCGGAUUUAUUGGGUUUAAAGGGAGCGUAGAUGGGUUGUUAAGUCAGUUGUGAAAGGUGGCGGCGCAACCGUAAAAGUGCAAUUGAUACUGGCAGUCUUGAGUACAGGUGAGGUAUGCGGAAGUCGUGGUGUAGCGGUGAAAUGCUUAGAUAUCACGAAGAACUCCGAUUGCGAAGGCAGCUUACUAAACUGCCACUGACAUUGAUGCUCGAAAGUGUGGGUAUCAAACAGGAUUAGAUACCCGUGUAGUC
This 460-nucleotide ribosomal RNA is filed under the name uncultured bacterium. Its description in RNAcentral is "partial 16S ribosomal RNA". It matches the Rfam family "Bacterial small subunit ribosomal RNA", at positions 338 to 795 of the family's 1533-position model. The record is from RNAcentral.